CCUAGUAAGCGUGAGUCAUCAGCUCAUGUUGAUUACGUCCCUGCCCUUUGUACACACCGCCCGUCGCUACUACCGAUUGAAUGGCUUAGUGAGACUCUCGGAUCGGGUUUUGGGAACCGGCAACGGAUCCUUUCUUCUGAGAAGUUUGUCAAACUUGGUCAUUUAGAGGAAGUAAAAGUCGUAACAAGGUUUCCGUAGGUGAACCUGCGGAAGGAUCAUUAGAAUAUUCGGGAAUUUUUUCCCUAAAUAUCUUAUUCAAAAAAUUUCCAUCCUAUUAAAAAAUAAUUUUUUAAACUUUAUUAAAAAAAAUAAAGACAACUUUCAACAACGGAUCUCUUGGCUCUUGCAUCGAUGAAGAACGCAGUGAAAUGCGAUAGGUAAUGUGAAUUGCAGAAUUCCGUGAAUCAUCAAAUCUUUGAACGCAAAUUGCACUCCUUGGUAUUCCGAGGAGUAUGCUUGCUUGAGGGUCGGAUCAUAUUAUCGUUUUUUAACGGAUCUGGGUUUUUCCAAGUUUUUUUAAACCUUGGUAACCUAAAAUUUAUCUUAAUAAUAUUUGUAAUAUUGAAAAUGUGUAUCUUACGUUCACGUGAGUUUAUUGACAAUUAUUAUGAAUUUAUUACGUCGUAUUAUUCACUCGGUUUUUUUAACGAUCGGGGCGAAAUGAUACAAUUUUUUAAAAUUCGACCUCAAGUCAAGUAAGAAUACCCGCUGAACUUAAGCAUAUCAAUAAGCGGAGGAAAAGAAACUAACAAGGAUUCCCUUAGUAACGGCGAGUGAACUGGGAAGAGCUCAAAUUUAAAAUCAUCAGGGUUUCCUUGAUGAGUUGUAAUUUGAAGAAAGUGUUUUGAUGUUCGGGUUUUAUCUAAAUCCUUUGGGAUAAGGUAUCAUAGAGGGUGAGAAUCCCGUUCGUGAUUAAACCUCGGAUGUCACUUAAUUCAUUUUCUAAGAGUCGAGUUGUUUGGGAUUGCAGCUCAAAAUGGGUGGUAAAUUUCACCUAAGGCUAAAUAUAUGCGAGAGACCGAUAGCGAACAAGUACCGUGAGGGAAAGAUGAAAAGAACUUUGAAAAGAGAGUUAAAUAGUACGUGAAAUUGUUGAAAGGGAAACGAUUGAAGUCAGUCAUGCUAGUGAGGAAUCAACUCGGUGGUUUUCUUCCGGGUGUACUUUCUCGCCUGGCAGGUUAGCAUCAAUUUCGUUCAUCAUUAAAUGAUCGGGGUAAUGUGGCUUCUCUUCGGAGUAGUGUUAUAGACCUUGGUAGAUGUGAUGAUCGGGAUUGAGGAUUGCAGCGAAUGCUAUUUGGCUAGUCCCCUGAUUUCUGAUGGUCACCUCGCCUUCGACAGCUUGCUGACGUGGGUGGGUUCUGAUUGUCUAGAUGUUAGGGUGAUCAUAUAUUCGCUAAGGAUGCUGACGUAAUGGCUUUAAACGACCCGUCUUGAAACACGGACCAAGGAG
Molecule: small RNA, 1450 nt
Filed under: Acaulospora koskei
Lineage: Eukaryota; Fungi; Glomeromycota; Glomeromycetes; Diversisporales; Acaulosporaceae
Description: eukaryotic LSU rRNA
Rfam family: Eukaryotic large subunit ribosomal RNA (bases 682-1450)
Source: RNAcentral